CCUACGGGAGGCAGCAGUGAGGAAUAUUGGUCAAUGGUCGGGAGUCUGAACCAGCCAAGCAGCGUGAAGGAUGACGACCCUAUGGAUUGUAAACUUCUUUUGUCUGGGAAUAAAACAGGGGACGCGUGCCCUCUUGUGUGUACCUUAUGAAUAAGCAUCGGCUAACUCCGUGCCAGCAGCCGCGGUAAUACGGAGGAUCCGAGCGUUAUCCGGAUUUAUUGGGUUUAAAGGGUGCGUAGGCGGAGUGUUAAGUCAGCGGUGAAAGGCCGGGGCUCAACCGUGGAACUGCGGUUGAAACUGGCAGGCUUGAGUACGGGAGAGGUAGGCGGAAUGCGUGGUGUAGCGGUGAAAUGCUUAGAUAUCACGAAGAACUCCGAUUGCGAAGGCAGCAUACCGGAGCGCAACUGACGCUGAUGCUCGAAAGCGUGGGUAUCGAACAGGAUUAGAUACCCUAGUAGUC
This 460-nucleotide ribosomal RNA is filed under the name uncultured bacterium. RNAcentral describes it as "partial 16S ribosomal RNA". It matches the Rfam family "Bacterial small subunit ribosomal RNA", at positions 338 to 795 of the family's 1533-position model. The record is from RNAcentral.